AGGACGAACGCUGGCGGCGUGCCUCAUACAUGCAAGUGGAGCGACGAACCAGGAUUUAUCCUGGGGCAAAGCCGCGAACGGGUGAGUAACACGUGGGUUACCUGCCCCGAUGAUUGGGACAACCCGAGGAAACUCGGGCUAAUACCAAAUGUGUUCUUGGUCGUGAUGACCAAGAAGAAAGGAAGCCUCGGCCUCCGCAUCGGGAUGGGCCCGCGGCCCAUUAGCUAGUUGGUGGGGUAAUGGCCUACCAAGGCGACGAUGGGUAGCUGGUCUGAGAGGACGAUCAGCCACAUUGGGACUGAGACACGGCCCAAACUCCUACGGGAGGCAGCAGUGGGGAAUAUUGGACAAUGGGCGCAAGCCUGAUCCAGCAAUGCCGCGUGGGUGAAGAAGGUCUUCGGAUUGUAAAGCCCUUUCGACGGGGACGAUGAUGACGGUACCCGUAGAAGAAGCCCGGCUAACUUCGUGCCAGCAGCC
RNAcentral lists this ribosomal RNA (477 nucleotides) under uncultured bacterium. Its description in RNAcentral is "SSU rRNA". It matches the Rfam family "Bacterial small subunit ribosomal RNA", at positions 26 to 516 of the family's 1533-position model. The record is from RNAcentral.